RNAcentral lists this ribosomal RNA (281 nucleotides) under Escherichia coli MP1. RNAcentral's name for it is "partial 23S ribosomal RNA". It matches the Rfam family "Bacterial large subunit ribosomal RNA", at positions 2661 to 2925 of the family's 2925-position model. Lineage: Bacteria; Pseudomonadati; Pseudomonadota; Gammaproteobacteria; Enterobacterales; Enterobacteriaceae. The record is from RNAcentral.
ACUGAGGGGGCUGCUCCUAGUACGAGAGGACCGGAGUGGACGCAUCACUGGUGUUCGGGUUGUCAUGCCAAUGGCACUGCCCGGUAGCUAAAUGCGGAAGAGAUAAGUGCUGAAAGCAUCUAAGCACGAAACUUGCCCCGAGAUGAGUUCUCCCUGAGACUUAGAGUCUCCUGAAGGAACGUUGAAGACGACGACGUUGAUAGGCCGGGUGUGUAAGCGCAGCGAUGCGUUGAGCUAACCGGUACUAAUGAACCGUGAGGCUUAACCUUACAACGCCGAAG